UAAAGCAUUACUCAGAUGCAUAUGUUGUGACCGAUCAUGCAUCCUCUUGAAGAUAAGCAAUGCGUGCCUUCUUAGAUGCAUUGGUACUUGGUGAGAUAUCAAACACCUGAAACAAAAAAAAAGUUGAUAGCAGCAAAGAUGAACCAAUUUACCAAGAAACUGAAACAAUUAACAUAGAUAUGUAGCUAAUAUAUACAGAUCUCUAGAAUAAGCCAUAAAAACGCAUCCCAAAGUAAAAAACAGGUUAAGAUACCCAUAAAAGACACCAUUCUUGAGACUGAAAAAAGAAGCUAAUUUGCAGCUUCUCUACUCUUGGCCUCUCCAGGAGAGUUAUGAGAAAUUUUCUCGAAAUUACUUUAGUGUUAGGGAUAGCAUGUCGAGGAUUCAGCUCAUGUAGGUGCAACACUUGAACCAAAAUAAAAUACCUUCACAAUACCAAUUUUGAGUAUCGUGUUCUUAGCAAUAGCAACUAACAACCUUUUGUUGACUCCUUAGCAAUAGCUCCGGUUAAAGAGGAGAAACCGGUUGAAGCUCCGGCAGCUGUGGAGGAGAAGCCAGCGGCAGAAGAGGAGAUGACUGUUGAAGUCAAGACAGCCUGAGAUGCUUGUCUU
Molecule: long non-coding RNA, 611 nt
Filed under: Brassica rapa (field mustard)
Lineage: Eukaryota; Viridiplantae; Streptophyta; Magnoliopsida; Brassicales; Brassicaceae
Description: long non-coding RNA (BRAP_LNC002844)
Source: RNAcentral